Molecule: ribosomal RNA, 268 nt
Filed under: uncultured Mobiluncus sp.
Lineage: Bacteria; Bacillati; Actinomycetota; Actinomycetes; Actinomycetales; Actinomycetaceae
Description: partial 16S ribosomal RNA
Rfam family: Bacterial small subunit ribosomal RNA
Source: RNAcentral
AUUAGUGGCGAACGGGCGAGUAACACGUGAGUAACCUGUCCUUUUCUUUGGGAUAACGGCUGGAAACGGCUGCUAAUACUGGAUAUUCAGGCUGCAUCGCAUGGUGUGGUUUGGAAAGGUUUUUUUCUGGAAUGGGGUGGGCUCGCGGCCUAUCAGCUUGUUGGUGGGGUGAUGGCUUACCAAGGCUUUGACGGGUAGCCGGCCUUAGAGGGUGGUCGGUCGCACUGGGACUGAGAUACGGCCCAGACUCCUACGGGAGGCAGCAGGA